CCGACGCUCUGGUGGUUGCCCCGCCCGCGUGCGGCCAGCCCUCGGGCAGUGGGAGCCCGCCCGCGUCCUCGGGUCCGCGCAGCCUCCCGCGCGGGCACGGCUGGCGCGGCCGCCGGACUGUCCACCCGACCGCGGGCCCCGGCGAGCGGACCCCGCGCUCGCGGCCAGUUUGCCUCCCCCAAAAUGAGAAGGUUGGGGAAGCACUUCAAGGAAGGGCCGGAAGCCUGAAUCUGCCUGUGCCCCUGGCGGUAGGACGAGCACCUGGCCGGCGGGCCUGUUACCGCGGCUACUUCCGGAGCUACUCCCCCCGAGAUGGCAGAAACUAGCACCGGGUCCCACCGCGCUCACCUCGCAGGCUCCCUCUUGGCGCCCAAAACCAAGCAGAAGCCACAAUCUAUAGAGAUGCAGUAACCUGUGACAUGAGAGAGAUUACUCAGCCAUAAAAAGGAACGAAGUUGAGCCAUUUGCAGAGACGUGGAUGGACCUAGAGACCAUCAUGCAGAAUGCAGAGUGAGAGUGCCUGAGCUCCGGGAAGACAAAAAUGACAAGACACUGUCCUCACAGAGCUUAUGUUAGAGGGCAGUCAGAAAUUCAAGUAACAAAAUAACAACCCAGAAAGGUAACGACUGUGAUGCUGAAGGUGGGAAAAGAGAAGAUGUGCUUGGGGACAGCCUCACCAGGUCCCUGCACGUGUGGGCAUGGGAGCUGGUGACAGUACCAUUCAGCUGAAGGCAGUGGUGUGUGUGUGCUGCUGUAUAGAACGUUCUGCUGAAGUUUCCCACGGACUGUGACAGUUCCCUGAAGGUCAUUGGCUGAGGACAGACGCAGGCUGGGACCAGAUAUUCUAAUGUCUGUGACUAUUCGAGUCCCCAAAAUAAGCAGAGCCUUGUAUGCAGAGACCCAGAGAAAUACAACUUUCCUCAGGUGGCUUCUGCAAGAGGAGGAAAGACAUUCGCAUUUGCCAAGAGACCCGGACCUCAGACCCUGGAGAAAAAGGAACCCUAAGAAAAGCACUGGGUCGACACGGGAAACGAGCCCCAGUGCUUCUCAGAUCCACACCACGUCACCAGGACCGCACACGGCAGUGGAAUUCCAGCCACCGGUUUCAGAAACGACGCUGAGAGCAAGCCUGUCUUCACAGAGCUAGUCAUCGUGUUGCUGAGACAGACCAACAGACACGCGCGGCGUACACAGUGUGACGGGUGCCACACCAGGGCCCACAGGCCCUAGGAACUCACACAGAUCCAGAGCCUUAGAUGUCAUGUUGUCCUUGAUGUCUUUGCAGUGGAAAACCGUUACUCUACUGUCCAUUCAGUUUGGAGCCAAACGGAAUUAAAAUCUGCCUACUUGCAAUUUCUACCCACGUGUUCUGUUCUGACCACUGCAGCAACUCACACGAGGUCUUUCGUUACCCUGGUUGGUCACCUUUGGACACACUCAGGUGUGUUAAUGAACCAUGAAGGGUCGAGCCCAGCACAGGACACCGCCUCCACCGUGACCUGAUGACACUGGAUCCAAUGUUACUGUCCCUGCGCAGAGCUCUCUUGUUCUGAUAAUGAAGUUCGGAUGGGACUUGCCCUCUGGCAGCCUUUCAACAUAGUGGGCCACGCGGAGCCUAAAAUCAGCUUUAAAACCCAACUCCCUCCUCUGGUCAGAUCAUAUAUUCCAGGGACUCUGAUUAUUUGGAUUCCACUUCGUGACUAAAAAAUGUUGACACCAACAGAACAGCACCAACUUUUAAAAACUGUCACAAGGAAGGAUCUCUGAAAGAGACAAAGGACUAGAGGAAAAUGGUACCAGCUGGAAGGUCAGAUCUACACAAUGUAGAAUUUUGGAACUAGUAAUAAAUAUGCGGUUAAGUGUAAAAGCAUUUUCAAAAGUCAUUUUAAAACUUCUUUAAAGAAUAAAGCUUCACAUCCUUGUCAACACUAGGUAUUUCCAAUCCUUUUUAAUCUUAGCCAUUCUGGUGAGGGUGCGGCGGUGCUAUGCCACUGUCGUUUUAACAUUAAACAUUUAUUAAAUGCAUACGUGACAUGCUUAUAAAAUGGAGUAUUAGCUGUAAAUGAAGUUUUUCAAAGGAGGUUUAAUAUUCUGGGGAUAUGCUUAUGAUAUGCUAAAGAUGAAAAAUAAUAUAUAAACUCUGUGUACAGUAUACUUUUGUUUUUAUUUUAAUAUAUACAUAUUAAUAAAGAGGACUGGAAGAAAUUCACCAAGAUAUCAGGGCAGACCUUGCUUUAUUGCGCUUCGCAGAUGUCGCUUUUUUAAACAAAUCGAAGGUUCGUGGCAACCCUGCCUCAAGCAAGUCUGUCGGCGCCGUUUUUCCGACAGCAUUGGCUCCCCUCGUGCCUCUGUGCUACAUUUUGGUAAUUCUCUCAAUAUUUCAAACAUUUUCAUUAUUAUUAUAUUUGUUAUGAUGAUCUGUGAUCCGUGACCCUUGAUGUUACUACUAUGACUCCCUGAAGGCUUGGAUGAUGGAUAGCACUUUUAAGCAAUAAAGUAUUUUUUAAUUAA
Molecule: long non-coding RNA, 2511 nt
Organism: Balaenoptera acutorostrata (minke whale)
Lineage: Eukaryota; Metazoa; Chordata; Mammalia; Artiodactyla; Balaenopteridae
Exons: 7
Source: RefSeq, a predicted model, not a curated record